Molecule: long non-coding RNA, 2877 nt
Filed under: Oreochromis niloticus (Nile tilapia)
Lineage: Eukaryota; Metazoa; Chordata; Actinopteri; Cichliformes; Cichlidae
Description: lncRNA (ENSONIG00000028582.1)
Source: RNAcentral
UGUACUAUGUCGCCACUGACAGAGAUGUAACCUCUGCAGGGUUGUGAGAUGGAGGGAGGAGGACAAUUAAUGAAUCAGGAAUUGCAGAGGAUUAGUCAGGAGGAAAUGAGGGUAGCAAUGAAGAGGAUGAGGACUGGAAAGGUUCAGGUGACAUAAGUGUGGAGAUAUGAAUAUGUCUGAGAGAGAGGGCAGUGGACCUUCAGCAGAUUAUUUAAACAUGAUCCUGCAGAGUGAAGUUUACUGGUACUGAUUUUCUAGAACAAGCGUGAUGUGCACAGCUGUGGUAACCACAGAGGGAUUAAACCACCAUAAAUCAGAGAGCAGUGUCUCUGAUCCUCACUCUGAUUGGCAGUUGUACUUUGACCUUUAACCUCUCUGGUCUGUGUUGUUUCAUCUUCAGACCAGAAAAGCAUCACAGCUGAGUUUGGACACAAUAUCACUCUGCCAUGUCGAUCUCCAGACAAGGACAUCCCCAUUAUCGUUGUAGAGUGGAGCAGAGCUGACCUGGAAGAUGAAUAUGUGCUUAAUUACAGGGAUGAGCAGUUUGAUCCAGAUUACCAGCAUCCAUCUUUUACGAACCGGGUGGAUCUGCAGGACAGAGAGAUGAAAGAUGGAGGCGUGUCUUUGAUUCUGAACAAUGUGACGAUCAAGGACACUGGAACAUACGAGUGGGUGUUGUCCAGGGAGUGGAAGGACCUGUGAUUCUAAUCAACAUCAUCUACCUGAGUGUUGUUGAUCCUCCAGGUCAGACAGGAGGAGACACAGAGGAUGGAGGGAAGGAGGAUGGAUCUGUUGGACUCAUCACUGGUCUCUCAGUUUCUGCUGCACUUCUUGUUGUUGUUGCUAGUUUCAUGAUUUACAGAAAAUGUAAUCCACAGAACGGAGGUUCAUACCAACCUGUUUCUGCAAUCUCCCGCUGCUGGUCCAACUUUCCAGAUUCUGCUGUAAAUGCCUUCAGUAAAGGUGGAUUGGUUUAAUGUUGAGCUAUCUCUCUGGCUUUUUUGUUUUUUUGUUAUUUAUUGUCCAAUAGCUGUUCUUCUACAGCAGUGCAGGUCAGGUCUAAAGUGUAGAACAGCUGCUUAGAGUUGUAUUUGUUGUAUACACCGUCUCUUAAAUUGUUACUGUCUAUGUAAAUAAGUUAAUAUUCCAGAAAUACUGUUUAUAUUUGUGUGUUCAGUCAAAUAACAUAGUAGAGUGAUGCAGUUAUAUUACAUUAAGGUUUCUUUGUAUCUAGAAGAGGGCUGUAGAGUUUUGCUGUUUUUCUUUUUCUGUAUUUUGCUGCCCUCUGACUCAUGGACAAUAGAGGGCAGCAACUGGUAAACUGACGUUGUUUAGUACUUUUUUGUUUAAUAAUUUCUUAUAUUUUGAGUCUUUUUACUAUAUUUUGAUGUUGGACUGAUCAUUGGUCGGCAGUUCUGAAGGCAAAAGGGAGUCCAACUCAGUACUAGCAAAGUGUACCUAAUAAAGUGGCUAACAAUGAACAUUAACAUAGAUAGAUCAAAAAUCUGAACACGUUUCUGCUUUUAUGUGUUGCAUUAAGUUGCAUUCAGUACCUGUAAAAAUCAUGUGUAACAGGCUUUUAUUGUAAAGAGCUGAGCACUCCUGAUCCUGUAUGAUGUCCCUGAGCGGGUUGGACUUGAUGUGAGACCAGCUGUGAACAUCAGGUGUGAACAAACCUGUAAAAAGUAUUUACAGAAGACAUUUUAUGAAGCUUGUAUUUGUUAGUAUGAAGUUUCCUCCAUAUCAGAUGUGAAACAGCUGCUGCACAUUCAUAAAGUGGAGUUUUUACGCUUUCAGUGGCGCAGACUCAGAGUUGGAGAGUGUUGUAGCACUCCAGUGCCAGUAGAGGGCAGCAAGAGAACAGUUUAUUCCAUUAACAAUUGGUCUGAAGGUUAAGAGCAGAUGAGCUUCAGUGCACUAACUUGAAACUAAAUCCAGAACUCACUUUUUUUGCUAAAUCAGCUUCUGAUUAAAGAACAGGCUUUAAAAAAAAUGCUAUUUAAACUAGACUUAUUACAGUGUUAUGAAUUUAAAUCCAUGGAUGUUUGUGAAAGUGUGAUGUGUUUUUAUGUGACAUCAUGAUUUAAAAUUCAGUGAAGACAAACACUAAUGAGCAUGUGCAGUGGGCUACAUACUGGAGAAACAGAAGCAGAACAGUUAUGGUUUAGUCUACUGUCCACGUGUCACAAUAGUGCCUUAUAGUUCAAGACCAGUGUGAGAUUAAUAAUAAUAAAAUAAUGAAUGUUAAAACUGAGGUGCCUUUGAUGUGUUUAAUGUCAGUUUUGUUAUGAAGAAUGCAUCACAGGAGUUCAUGUGAGAAAAUCAAACACAUUGUACAUAAAGGAAGUUUAUUAGUGCUGCAAAGAAUUUCGUUUACAUCAAAAAAUGAUUUGCAUUCAUUAAAAUAAGUUUGACCUUGAAAGGUGAAUUUGUAUGAUACUAAUCUGAGUAACAAAUCCACAUGAACACAUGAUUACAAAUGACCUGUACUGCUGCUUCACAAGUAAUACUUUAAUAUUUAGGUCUUAAAUCGUGUUAAUUUCUUUGUUUAUUAAAUUACACAGUGAAACAGACAGUUUUAAGAGCUUACAGGCAAACAUCGCAUUCAUUAAAAGUACUUAAUUCUUUUCUAAACUUUAAAUGAGCACAUUAAAGAUUUUCUUAAACAUGGUGUCUGCUCUGAGACACUUUACGAAUUUGAGUCACACUUUUUACUCCACAAGUGUUUUUAUACCACAAAAAUCACAUGCCUUGAUAUGACUGUUAUUGUUGUUAUAUAAAACCUAUAUAAUAAAGCCUAUAAAUUAAAGAAAAUCAAUCUCCAACUUUUCUUUUCUGUUGUUGUGCUCAUAAAGUGUCUGAAUUUAAUUUGAAUUC